Molecule: long non-coding RNA, 1139 nt
Filed under: Salmo salar (Atlantic salmon)
Lineage: Eukaryota; Metazoa; Chordata; Actinopteri; Salmoniformes; Salmonidae
Description: lncRNA (ENSSSAG00000091813.1)
Source: RNAcentral
AUUCAUUGAGAAUCCAUAAUUCGAAGGCAGUUGCUUGCAGUUCCUAUCACUUCCACUGGAUGUCAACAGUCUUUAGAAAUUGGUUGAUGUUUUUCCUUUGUGUAAUGUAGAAGUAGCCCUGUUCAGAAUGAGGCUCAAGGGAAGUAUGCUGUUUGAUAGAGGCGCGUGACCUGAAAAGCAUGCUCCACUUUGUUUUCCUCCGGUAUUGAACACAGUUUAUCCCAUCUUAAAUUUUCAAUUAUUUAUGUAAAAAAAAGACCUAAAGUUGUAUUAGGAAAGUUGUUUGAAAUGUUUGGACAAAGAUUACAGAGGACCUGAGCCCUAGGACCAUGCCUCAGGACUACCUGGCCUGAUGACUCCUUGCAGUCCACCUGGUCGUGCUGCUGCUCCAGUUUCAACUGUUCUGCCUGCGGCUAUGGAACCCUGACCUGUUCACCGGAUGUGCUACCUUGUCCCAGACCUGCUGUUUUCGACUCUCUCUCUACCGCACCUGCUGUCUCUAACUCUGAAUGCUUGGCUAUGAAAAGCCAACUGACAUUUACUACUGAGAUUUCCCUCUUCUGCAGGGCCAAGAGGACCUGGGCUUGAUGUCCGUGAUCCUCCACAGAGGCGAGGAGCACAAAUAUUGUCAAGCAAUGGGGAAGACCACAUUGAGAACCUUAAUUGUCUGUGUAUCCACAGUGUAUAGUGCUUUAGGUUGUGUAGUGACAGGCCCAGACCAGGAGGUUCCUGUGGGCUCUAAUGUCCGACUGCCCUGCAACCUCACUCAGUGUUUCAAAAGUCUGGGACAUCACAAAAUCAGUGUGGAGUGGGAGUUCACUGACAAGGGGUCAAUGGAUAACAGCCAGCACUAUCUCAUAUACCACUACCAUAACCAAACUGUCACCGUUGAUCCCAGAGUGUAUUUGGUUGGGACCAUCUCUGAAGGUGACUUCUCGCUCCUGCUGCUGUCAGUGACAGUCCAAUGUAGUGGCACCUACAUGUGUCGCCUGGGUCCUGCACCCGGCUAUCCAGACAUCCAUCAGAGUCACACACAGGUCACAGUGGUGGAAAGAUCAGGGCAGCACAGGAGUUUCCCAGGAGAUUUCCAUAAACCUGAUGUAACCCAUCCUGAUUGGCUGUUGCCUCUCUGCUGCGGG